This 89-nucleotide transfer RNA is filed under the name Rhodoblastus sphagnicola. RNAcentral describes it as "tRNA-Lys". Lineage: Bacteria; Pseudomonadati; Pseudomonadota; Alphaproteobacteria; Hyphomicrobiales; Rhodoblastaceae. The record is from RNAcentral.
CCUUAAAUGCAAACUGUCAUUGAAAUAUUUAGGAAAAGACCUGACUUUUAAUCAGAGGGUCUCGGGUUCGAACCCCGACGCGCUCACCA